AGUGAACGCUGGCGGUAGGCCUAACACAUGCAAGUCGAACGGCAGCACAGUAAGAGCUUGCUCUUACGGGUGGCGAGUGGCGGACGGGUGAGGAAUACAUCGGAAUCUACUUUUUCGUGGGGGAUAACGUAGGGAAACUUACGCUAAUACCGCAUACGACCUACGGGUGAAAGCAGGGGAUCUUCGGACCUUGCGCGAUUGAAUGAGCCGAUGUCGGAUUAGCUAGUUGGCGGGGUAAAGGCCCACCAAGGCGACGAUCCGUAGCUGGUCUGAGAGGAUGAUCAGCCACACUGGAACUGAGACACGGUCCAGACUCCCACGGGAGGCAGCAGUGGGGAAUAUUGGACAAUGGGCGCAAGCCUGAUCCAGCCAUACCGCGUGGGUGAAGACGGCCUUCGGGUUGUAAAGCCCUUUUGUUGGGAAAGAAAAGCAGCAGGUUAAUACCCCGCUGUUCUGACGGUACCCAAAGAAUAAGCACCGGCUAACUUCGUG
This 492-nucleotide ribosomal RNA is filed under the name uncultured bacterium. RNAcentral describes it as "partial 16S ribosomal RNA". It matches the Rfam family "Bacterial small subunit ribosomal RNA", at positions 29 to 507 of the family's 1533-position model. The record is from RNAcentral.